AAUGGAGGAGCCUAUGGGUACCUCUCCUGGAGUGUACUCUGCGUGGAAUACAACAAACUGAGGCAAGGAGGGGGUAAGGAGGAAGAUUCUCACGCUAGGCUUGAUGGUUUAAUUUGAGGCCAAGUCAACCAAAUUUAAGGGGAGCUAGGUGGCUCAGUAAAUGACGUGCCAGGUCUGGAGUCAGAAAGACAUCUUUCUGGGUUCAAAUUACUAGCUACUUGGCUCUAGGCAAAUCACUUAGUAUCUUUGAUACUCAAGAUACACCAGUAUCUUUGCCAAGAAAACCUUAAAUGGGGUCUCAAAGGAUCAAACACAACUGAGGUGACUGAGCAACACUCCAUUUUAUUUGUCUAUCACACUGUCAGAUUCAGUAGGUAAGUUAUCACUCUUGGGGAGGCCAUUCCUGACCUCUUUCCAACUGUCUCCCAACUGUCAUUUCAAGAACUUUGUGGCUGAAGCUUCUAGUUGUCAUCUCUAAUUUCCUGGACAUCUUUUGACAGGAUCAGGAAUAUUCUCUGCAGAUCUAGGAAAGAAUCAGUCAUCCUUGUGAUUAAGGAGACGGUGAGCCAAUCCUUUGAACUGCGCAUCCUCACAGAGAGCAGGUCUCAAGUAAUAAUCUGGACUGAAAUCUUCUACACAGACUUAUUCAAUCUUGGCUCUCUACAGAUUUGCUUUUUUCUGGUUAUUUUCUAGCAAAAACAAAGCCCUUAAAUUGUUAUCUGAAUAGUGUUUAUUUUUCUUUGGAUAUGUGGCAAACCUCCCAGUUUUAGCAAAAGAGAUAUUUCUACUCCCCACAAUAUGAAAAAGAUUAGCAUUAUUAAUUAUAUUAAUAUUAAUAGACUUUGAGUGUUGUGCAUUAACUUGAUCAGUGCUGUAGCAGAAAGAGGUCUGGCUUUCAAGUCAAGAAGCCCUGGGUUCAAAUCCCACUUGGAAUUUGAUGCCUCUUGAGCAAGUCACUGAAUCUGCAGUCAAGUAACAGAUGAGAGAAUUGAAUUAAAAGAUUCUGCAGUUCCUUGUAAUUCUAAUUCUAUGAUCCUUCAGCCUCAUAAACAAGUU
This 1056-nucleotide long non-coding RNA is filed under the name Sarcophilus harrisii (Tasmanian devil). RNAcentral describes it as "lncRNA (ENSSHAG00000024196.1)". The record is from RNAcentral. Lineage: Eukaryota; Metazoa; Chordata; Mammalia; Dasyuromorphia; Dasyuridae.